CUCAUUCUUUCAUUCUCGUCCUUGGAUUGGCCGCGAGACAUUUAUCCACUCGCUUUAGGCCUGCGCGUUGCAAGACGGGAGAAAAGGGGGGGCGUCCGCAGGCAAGAUGGAGCCGACUGUGGCCGGUGUGGGCCGGCUAGAGGAAGAGGCACUGCGGCGAAAGGAACGGCUGAAGGCCCUACGGGAGAAAACCGGGCGCAAGGACAAGGAAGAUGGGGAGCCAAAGACCAAGCAACUUAGAGAAGAGGAGGAAGAAGGCGAGAAGCACAGGGAACUUAGACUGCGGAACUAUGUCCCGGAGGAUGAGGACCUGAAGAAGAGGAGGGUGCCCCAGGCCAAACCGGUUGCAGUGGAAGAGAAGGUGAAGGAGCAGUUGGAGGCCGCCAAGCCCGAGCCUGUCAUCGAGGAGGUGGUGAGUGCCUGGGCUGCCCUGGCCUCCUUGCUGCUUCUGUGUGUCCUGUUUCUCUUCCCCACCUGCUCUCCCUCUGCCUGCUUCCUUCUUGUCACUUCUUUAUUCCCUUGCCACCUGCCUCUUUGUCCUUGUCCCUCUCCUUCCUCCUCCUCUUUCUCCCAUUUCUCUCCCUCUCUAGCCUGCCCUCCUCCUUCCCCUGGGGCAGCCUCUCCAUCCUGAUGUGUGUCUCCUCCCUCUUCAGGAUCUGGCCAACCUCGCUCCUCGGAAGCCUGACUGGGACCUCAAGAGAGAUGUGGCCAAGAAGCUGGAGAAACUAAAAAAGAGGACUCAGAGGGCCAUCGCCGAGCUGAUCCGUGAAAGACUGAAAGGUCAGGAAGACAGCCUAGCCUCUGCAGUGGACGCUGCCACCGAACAGAAGGCCUGUGACUCCGAUUGAGGCAUGCCCUGCCCUGCCACGUGCCUGUCAGGCCUGUCCUGCAGGGGGUGUUCUUGGGCAGGGAUCGGGGUGAGGCUUGCCAUCGCCUCCAGUUUGGCUUCUGAGCAGAGACUCCCUUCCUGUCAAGUCUGAAACCCCCAUGGGUGAGGUCAGCUACUUGUCUCCUGAGUGGCCCCUGCCAUUCUAAAUGGAGGCAGAACAGCAGCAACUCUCGGUGUGCCUGUGUCUGUACAUAUGUAUGUAUAUAUGUCUGUAUAUAUGUAUGCAUGUUGAACUUGGAAAAAAAAAAUCUCUGGAGAUAGACAAGAAAACCCCUGUGUGUGGCAGAAAUCUGUCAUGUAUUUCCUCAGCCUGGGGGUACUAUGGAUUUGGGCUCCACGACAGGGUGACUGCAGAGGUGGUACUUAGUAUGAAUAACCCCUGUGUUGGGCUGGGCAUGUUAAGGCUGGAGGGGUGGGGAACGCUCAGUGCUGCCUUCUGUGUCCAAGUCCUGGCCCAGUCCAUGGUCAGUGUGGUCAUCUCAAGAUCCUUGGGUGAUAGAGACAGGGUCUGAGAGAGUUCUUUUAAGACCUCCCCCAGGCCUAGGCCUUGUAGUAGUCUGUGGAGUAGCUGGAGAGACUCCCACCCUGGUUCUCUGGGGUCUUCUCACAGUGUGAGAGAGAGUGGACCUUGGCAAACCCCAACUCAGGGCAACUCUAGAUUUGAGGCUGCUGGCACUGUGUUCCCCACUCUGCCCAGCCCCAGGCAGCCCCUCUCCCUGCUCCACCAGUCAGAGCUAGACUACGGCUCUCUUGGGACAGAGCCCUUGCAUGGAAGGGGUGGCCCAUUCUGCUAGAGACGGGGAUAUUGUAGGCUGGGAUUCAGGUGUGGUCAUGGACUUUAGAUCCCCAAGGUUCUGGCUUUAGGACAUGAGCCUCUUCUGUGGAGCAGACUCUCCAGGGUAACUGGCUGGCUAUCAUCUCUGACUGUAGGACUUGUGGCCAACUAGACUUGCAUCUCCUCCAGGAUGGUUAAACCCUUGAGUUUCCUUUGGGAUUUCCCCUUGAGCCUCCUGCCUCUGCCCUAAGCCAUUCAGUGUGUUCUUCCUCUCCUAUUCCAGAAACACAAUGGCCCGUUUCUGGCAGACAGUGCCAAGCACUCUGGUCAUAGAGGCAGAGUGGGUUUUUGCACACAGAGACAAGCACACUCACACAACCAGUGAAAAACCCUUUAAGUUAAAAUUAGCAACUAUUCUUGGAAGGUAAUUCCUGUGUGGAAAAGGAACAGAAACUUCUAGCUGUGGGUGAGGGCUAAAGUGGUAGGUAGCCAGCUUCUGCACUGAGUAGUAAGACAAGACCAAGACUCUGACUCCCACAUGGGGCAGAAGCCUUUCCAGUAUUUCCUAGAUCCAGGGGUACAUGCAGGACUGGAGCCAGGCUCCCUCUAUCCAGUUGGUAAAACUGAAGCCAGACUUCUUUUCCUGUGAAAAAAGGGGUGAAAAGACUCCCUGCAUCUCCUGGGAUUGCGAUUGGAAACAGGAUGCUUGUCUGCAGCAGUGGAAGGACUUGGAUACCCAGUGACUGGCAACUAGGCUGCCACUCAGCACCAGCUCUGGGACUAGAGUAAGGUUAUCCAACAGUACCACAGUCCCGAGAGCUAACGAAACGUGUGCUUCUGAUUUUAUGACCCUGGAUGUUGUCCUGUAAGGAAAAACAGAAAGUACCAUGCAUCGUGAACACUCAAACAAAAAUUACAAAAUACAUGAGAACAUCCAUGUCUUAAAGAAUGACCAGUAACCCAAGUGGGAGGAUUUAUACCCAAGGAAACUGAAAUAGUAACAGCCUAAAAGGCUUUAAAAAUGAGCAUUUGUUUUUGCAUCAGAGAGAUAAAAGAGGGUCUGGUACCCUUAAGAACAAAGAUUAGACAUAAGAAAGAACCGAUUAGAAAUCUUGGAAAGAAAGAAUAUAGCUCUUAAAACAAGAAACUUCGUAGAGAGCUAAGUAUUAACUUAAAGUCCAAGAAAGGGUUAGUAAAUGGGAAGUUAGAGCUGAGACGGUCACAUAGAAGGUGGCAGUGAGAGAGAAAGAUGGCAAGAUGGAAGGUGGCUUGAGAACCUUGCCAUACUGAUACAUGUUCUGUGGAUGACAGGAGUUCCAAGAAAAGGAAACCAGAGAAAGAAGGUAUUUGAAGAAAGAAUGGCCAACCACUUCUUUUUUUUUUUCUUAAGCAAUAAGAUACUUUGAAAGAGACUACAUUCCUAUAACUUGAAUUACUGUAUAUUGUUAUAAUUGUUUUCUCAGUUACUGUUAACUUGUUACUAUGCCUAAUUUAUAAAUUAAAUUUUAUCAUAGGUAUUUAUGUGUAAGAGAAAACAGUAUAUAUAAGGUUCAGUACUCGACACCAUUUCAGGCAUCCACUGGGGGCCUUGGCACAUGCCCCCCAUGGAUAAGGAAUGACUAUAUAGCACUAUAAUGUAUUAUGGCAAUUAAAAUCCUUGUAUCUGUGAAUUAGACAAAGGUGAAGAAACAAUUAGUGAAUGGGAAACUAGAUCUGAAGUUUUCCAAAAUGCAGCCCAGCAAGAUAAACAGAUCAGUAAUGUAAAGCAAGAGAUUGAGAGACGUGGAGAAUAGAAUGAAAAGAUCCAACAUAAAGUGAUGGAGUUCCUGCUGGG
Molecule: RNA transcript, 3498 nt
Organism: Sapajus apella (tufted capuchin)
Lineage: Eukaryota; Metazoa; Chordata; Mammalia; Primates; Cebidae
Gene: CCDC12
Gene name: coiled-coil domain containing 12
Exons: 6
Source: RefSeq, a predicted model, not a curated record